This 496-nucleotide ribosomal RNA is filed under the name uncultured bacterium. RNAcentral's name for it is "partial 16S ribosomal RNA". It matches the Rfam family "Bacterial small subunit ribosomal RNA", at positions 28 to 506 of the family's 1533-position model. The record is from RNAcentral.
GAUGAACGCUGGCGGCGUGCCUAAUACAUGCAAGUCGAGCGAACGGACGAGAAACUUGCUUCUCUGAUGUUAGCGGCGGACGGGUGAGUAACACGUGGAUAACCUACCUAUAAGACUGGGAUAACUUCGGGAAACCGGAGCUAAUACCGGAUAAUAUUUUGAACCGCAUGGUUCAAAAGUGAAAGACGGUCUUGCUGUCACUUAUAGAUGGAUCCGCGCUGCAUUAGCUAGUUGGUAAGGUAACGGCUUACCAAGGCAACGAUGCAUAGCCGACCUGAGAGGGUGAUCGGCCACACUGGAACUGAGACACGGUCCAGACUCCUACGGGAGGCAGCAGUAGGGAAUCUUCCGCAAUGGGCGAAAGCCUGACGGAGCAACGCCGCGUGAGUGAUGAAGGUCUUCGGAUCGUAAAACUCUGUUAUUAGGGAAGAACAUAUGUGUAAGUAACUGUGCACAUCUUGACGGUACCUAAUCAGAAAGCCACGGCUAACUACGU